This 427-nucleotide ribosomal RNA is filed under the name uncultured bacterium. RNAcentral describes it as "bacterial SSU rRNA". It matches the Rfam family "Bacterial small subunit ribosomal RNA", at positions 355 to 774 of the family's 1533-position model. The record is from RNAcentral.
UGGGGAAUUUUGGACAAUGGGCGCAAGCCUGAUCCAGCCAUGCCGCGUGCGGGAAGAAGGCCUUCGGGUUGUAAACCGCUUUUGUCAGGGAAGAAAUCCUUUGAGCUAAUACCUCGGGGGGAUGACGGUACCUGAAGAAUAAGCACCGGCUAACUACGUGCCAGCAGCCGCGGUAAUACGUAGGGUGCGAGCGUUAAUCGGAAUUACUGGGCGUAAAGCGUGCGCAGGCGGUUCGGAAAGAAAGAUGUGAAAUCCCAGAGCUUAACUUUGGAACUGCAUUUUUAACUACCGGGCUAGAGUGUGUCAGAGGGAGGUGGAAUUCCGCGUGUAGCAGUGAAAUGCGUAGAUAUGCGGAGGAACACCGAUGGCGAAGGCAAUCCCCUGGACCUGUACUGACGCUCAUGCACGAAAGCGUGGGGAGCAAACA